This 364-nucleotide ribosomal RNA is filed under the name Sancus acoreensis. RNAcentral describes it as "partial 12S ribosomal RNA". Lineage: Eukaryota; Metazoa; Arthropoda; Arachnida; Araneae; Tetragnathidae. The record is from RNAcentral.
GGAUUAGAUACCCUAUUAUAUUUAAACAAAUUGGGUAGUAUUAUUAAUAAAAACCUUUAUACUUUGGCGGCAUUUUAUCUUAUUAGAGGAAUAUGUUCAUUAAUCGAAACCACACGAUAGUUUUUACUUACUAUAAAAUUUUAUAUACCCCCGUCUAAAGAAUUUAUUUAAAAUUUUUAUUCCAAAUUAUAUUAAAAAAAGUUAGGUAAAGGUGUAGACUAUUAGUAAGAUUAAAUGUAUUACAUUAAAAAAAAUUUAAGGAUAAAACAGUUAACUGUUUAUUAAAAGAGGAUUUAUAAGUAAUUUACUUUUAAUAAAAAUUAAUGAAUAAGAAAAUAAAUGUGCACAUAUCGCCCGUCACUCU